AACCUGCGGAAGGAAUCAUU
RNAcentral lists this ribosomal RNA (20 nucleotides) under Leucodermia boryi. RNAcentral's name for it is "partial 18S ribosomal RNA". The record is from RNAcentral. Lineage: Eukaryota; Fungi; Ascomycota; Lecanoromycetes; Caliciales; Physciaceae.